GAGGAAUAUUGGGCAAUGCCCGCAAGGGUGACCCAGCAACGCCGCGUGGAGGAUGAAUGUCGUAAGAUUGUAAACUCCUGUUAGAGGGGAAGAAUAGUACCGGUUGGACCGGUAUAUGACUGUACCCUCAGAGAAAGCCCCGGCUAACUACGUGCCAGCAGCCGCGGUAAUACGUAGGGGGCAAGCGUUGUCCGGAUUUACUGGGUGUAAAGGGCGCGCAGGCGGGAUAAAAAGUCAGUGGUGAAAUCCUACAGCUUAACUGUAGAACUGCCUUUGAUACUUUUAUUCUGGAGUUCGGGAGAGAGAGACGGAAUUCCAGGUGUAGUGGUGAAAUACGUAGAUAUCUGGAAGAACACCAGUUGCGAAGGCGGUCUCUUGGUCCGACACUGACGCUGAGGCGCGAAAGCGUGGGGAGCAAACA
Molecule: ribosomal RNA, 421 nt
Filed under: uncultured bacterium
Lineage: Bacteria
Description: bacterial SSU rRNA
Rfam family: Bacterial small subunit ribosomal RNA
Source: RNAcentral